RNAcentral lists this ribosomal RNA (267 nucleotides) under uncultured bacterium. RNAcentral's name for it is "partial 16S ribosomal RNA". It matches the Rfam family "Bacterial small subunit ribosomal RNA", at positions 88 to 354 of the family's 1533-position model. The record is from RNAcentral.
AUGGCGACCGGCGUACGGGUGAGUAACGCGUAUCCAACCUGCCCUUUACUAUGGGACAGCCCGUCGAAAGGCGGAUUAAUACCGUAUGUUGUCAUGUUGAUGCAUAUUUUCAUGACCAAAGGCUUCGGCCGGUAAAGGAUGGGGAUGCGUCUGAUUAGCUUGCCGGCGGGUAACGGCCCACCGGGGCGACGAUCAGUAGGGGUUCUGAGAGGAAGGUCCCCCACAUUGGAACUGAGACACGGUCCAAACUCCUACGGAAGGCAGCAG